CUAAUGGGAAAUAUUUCGGAACAUUGAGACGUCGGAACAACGAGGCGUCGGAAUUACGGCAUGGCACCCAAAGGACGUGUGCUUGAUCAUCCAUGAUUCUGAAGGAGAGUCGCCUGCCAGUGAGUCUUCAGGUAGCCUCACGGAUACACUUUCCCUGUUGAGUAGUCAGGGUAGUGAGGUCGAACUUAGCCAAAGCAAAAGGGCAUGCUUGGGGACAGAGAUGUUGCAGUGUGUUACAGCGAAAGAUUUGGUGAAGAAUGUUCUGCUGGAGAAGCCUGGUGGUGCAACAGUCCUGAAGGAGUACGAGAACACUGGGAAAAUAUGUGACAGUUCCAGACGGCAGAUGGUGAACAUUUUAGCAGCACACAUGACAGAAAAAGAGGGGAGCAUUUCUAUGAUGCCCAAAGUGGAUCAGGCUUCCUGGCUUGGAGGCUCAAGACUAUUCAACGGAAGACCAAAUUUCAUCCCGAGUCAUCUAGUUCCCCUAAGGCUGCUGUUGUGAUGGGAGGUGGUCCAACACUCGUCAGGGACAACAGUCAAGAAGAUCAGCUUCAGGAUGAGCAAUGCAAAGAGGCCAUUUCCUUGAUGACUCAUACCAACGAGCGUGACACCAUCUUCCAGAAGAUGCAAGAAACCUUCCAUUUCCGGCAGGGGCUCAUCCACAAUCCUGAAACCUCGGCAUCAGUCCUGUCCAUGUUCCCAAGACUUUUGGACACAAAAUGAUUGGUUCUUCAAGACUUCAGCCUUCUCUUCGGAGCAGAAACAGCAGCCAGACUUCUGGAAAAGUGGCCCUCAUACAAACCAAAGUUGAUAAAAGAAGCCGCUGCCCUGGUACAGACCCCGUUAUUGCAACACCUUUUACAAUCUGCCAGAGGGGAACAAGUGGAGUCAUCUGCAGAUUACCGCCCAGGUUGGGACAGCGAUAUGUCCACUUUACUCCUCCUGUUACACAUCCUGUCACCUCAGCCAGCUGGGAGGAAAAGGGGUCACAAGAUCAGUGCAAGGGAUGCCAUUGACCACCUGGUAAUUUUUCACAAGAGUCUGGAUGAACAUUUGGAUUCUGAUGAACGUCAACAGCCGUAUCUGCUUGCCUCUGGAACCACCAAACGAGCCAUGAGCGCCUUCUACAUCGCCAUGGAUAAGAAGCUCAUCCCAUGCCAGGGAAACACAUCUCUUGCAGCAUUCGAUGAACUUUUCAAGGUCCAUUUUGUCUUCAGUUUGAAUUACGAUGAGUCUUUUCGCAGCAUGUACACGUUUCUCCAGACAACGAUCUACAACAUUGAUGUGGGAUCAACCAAAGAGAGUCCGAAACUAAAAGAGUUGCGAGCAAAGUUGCUGCAUGAUGUUUAGGUGUUACAUUUGUAGGAAACUACUUGGCUCUAGUGGGGCCUUGGUUCAACACCUUAAACUGUUACAUGGGUUGUAUCCUGGCAAAAAGUUAAAUUUAAUAUGUGCUCAGGAUAGUUGUUGCUUAGAAUUUAGAAGUUACUCUGGUUUCCGCAAACACCUGAAACGUGUACACUGCAACAUUAAUGUGACUGAACCAGGUUUGACAGAUGAACCCCAACCUAGCACAUCUUUAGGUACGCCGGCUCUGCCUUCAGAUGUGCCCCCUCUGUCCAAACUUCUGACUUGAAUCCUGACUUAAUCAAUAAAAGGGAAUGUUCUUUAGAUUCAAAACAUAUGUGUGCUUCUGUUAUUGCGAAGUUGCAGGGUAGUGGUGUGGCAAAUACUGUUAUUUUGUCAGUUGUAGAAAGUAUGGAGGAAUGUUUAAAUGAUAUCCACACUUCAAUAACGCGUCAGGUCUUAGAGGUCGUGCCAGAGGGUAACCCGAGCAGAAGUGCACUAGAGGAAGUGUUAGAAAAUUUGGAGAACCCUUUUGCUGAUCUCAACACCGAUAGCAAAUGGAAAAAAUAUUUUUAUUCCAAAUGGGGAGUUGUACAACCUGUAGAGGUGCAUUUAGGAGUAAGAUACGAUUCUAAGAUAAACAGAAUUUCUGGAAAUUACGAACAGGUACCAGUUAACGACACUUUCAUCUAUGUGCCUUUGUUUAAGGCACACCUGUGCCACACCUUGAAGGUGUGGCACAAUAUGAGGUUAAGCUACUGUUUGACUACCUGGCAAAGAAUUUCCUAUCCAGUGAACACAUAUUAUUGAGAAUUUAUGGUUAUAGCUAUGGAUACUUGGACCGUAAGAACAGGCCAACAAAGAUCAAUAUUCAUGGAAAUGGGCUUGGUCUUAAUGCCAGUCAAACAAUGUGUCUUUUGAGAAAUAUUCCACUCAUCUUUGCCAAUGUUGUUCCAGAAAAUGAUAAUCAUUGGAAUCUACUGUUGCUUCUGCUUGAUAUUAUGUACAUAGUCUUCUCACCUAACAUCUCUGAGGGAAUGACUGUCUACUUGAGGUCUCUUAUUGCCGAACAUCAUACGUUAUUCAAACAAAUUUACCCCACACACAAUCUUAUUCCCAAACAUCAUUUAAUGAUCCAUUAUCCCUCUGUUAUUAGAAAAAUCGGUCCUUUACUUCAUGUCUGGACCAUGAGAUAUGAAGCGAAGCACAGAUUUUUCAAAUCUAGCACUAAAAACUUAAAAAAUGUGACAGUCUUUAGCAUCAAAACAUCAGUUAGCUAUUGCCUAUCAUUGGGAGGCGUUCACGGUUAGUGGUAUUGAAUCACGACCAGUAAAAACCCAAAUGUUAAGUGAAUUAGAUGAAGAAGAGCUGGUCUGUGAAUAUUUUCAACUCGAUAGGUCCUCUACUUUAUCUUUUACUGCAUGGGUGAAAUGCGACGGCAUUGACUAUCACAUAGGAUCUGCUGUGUGUGUAGAUGUUGAGGAAGAAAUGCCAUUGUUUGGUAAAAUUGUUUUAAUAAUCCUAAAAAAAGAGGCUAUACAUUUUGUUCUUAUUGAGUUAAAUUCUGUGUAUGUUGAGCAUCUCCAUGCCUUUCAAGUUGGAGAAAUGUACCAUAUGUACAUUGUAAAUCGAGAUGAUUUGCAGCAUCACAAGCCUUUCGACCUGCAGAUGUCCUAUGGCUGUGACGCAUUGUUUUAUAUUGUACCUGACUGCUGCAUUUUGUAAGAUGGAGUUGCUGCUGAAUUUUGUAAGAUGAGUCAUGGUGCGAUUUUGUCAGAUGAGAUUUAAUUAAAAAAAGUCUAAUAUAA
Gadus morhua (Atlantic cod) is the source of this 3155-nucleotide long non-coding RNA. RefSeq lists it as uncharacterized. NCBI's taxonomy places the organism in Eukaryota, Metazoa, Chordata, Actinopteri, Gadiformes, Gadidae. The record is from RefSeq and is a predicted model, not a curated record. The transcript has 8 exons.